UACGGGGGGGGCAAGCGUUGUUCGGAAUUACUGGGCGUAAAGGGCUCGUAGGCGGCCAACUAAGUCAGACGUGAAAUUCCUCGGCUUAACCGGGGAACUGCGUCUGAUACUGGAUGGCUUGAGUUUGGGAGAGGGAUGCGGAAUUCCAGGUGUAGCGGUGAAAUGCGUAGAUAUCUGGAGGAACACCGGUGGCGAAGGCGGCAUCCUGGACCAACACUGACGCUGAGUGAGCGAAAGCCAGGGGAGCAAACGGG
This 254-nucleotide ribosomal RNA is filed under the name uncultured bacterium. Its description in RNAcentral is "partial 16S ribosomal RNA". It matches the Rfam family "Bacterial small subunit ribosomal RNA", at positions 524 to 776 of the family's 1533-position model. The record is from RNAcentral.